GACGAACGCUGGCGGCGUGCUUAACACAUGCAAGUCGAGCGGAAAGGCCCUGCUUUUGUGGGGCGCUCGAGUGGCGAACGGGUGAGUAACACGUGAGUAACCUGCCCUUGACUUUGGGAUAACUUCAGGAAACUGGGGCUAAUACCGGAUAGGAGCUCCUGCUGCAUGGUGGGGGUUGGAAAGUUUCGGCGGUUGGGGAUGGACUCGCGGCUUAUCAGCUUGUUGGUGGGGUAGUGGCUUACCAAGGCUUUGACGGGUAGCCGGCCUGAGAGGGUGACCGGCCACAUUGGGACUGAGAUACGGCCCAGACUCCUACGGGAGGCAGCAGUGGGGAAUAUUGCACAAUGGGCGGAAGCCUGAUGCAGCAACGCCGCGUGCGGGAUGACGGCCUUCGGGUUGUAAACCGCUUUCGCCUGUGACGAAGCGUGAGUGACGGUAAUGGGUAAAGAAGCACCGGCUAACUACGUG
RNAcentral lists this ribosomal RNA (468 nucleotides) under uncultured bacterium. Its description in RNAcentral is "partial 16S ribosomal RNA". It matches the Rfam family "Bacterial small subunit ribosomal RNA", at positions 28 to 507 of the family's 1533-position model. The record is from RNAcentral.